Molecule: long non-coding RNA, 217 nt
Organism: Sinocyclocheilus rhinocerous
Lineage: Eukaryota; Metazoa; Chordata; Actinopteri; Cypriniformes; Cyprinidae
Exons: 2
Source: RefSeq, a predicted model, not a curated record
ACAGUCCAGAGGAGCUGAGGAGUCUUUUACCCAGACUAGAGCAGGAGCUGAAGGAUUCUGGGAAAUUCAGAGACUUCUAUCAGUUCACGUUUAGCUUUGCCAAAAGUCCCGGACAGAAGGGUUUAGAUCUGGAGAUGGCCGUGGCCUACUGGAAUCUCAUUCUGACCGGCCGCUUUAAGUUCCUCGACCUCUGGAGCACUUUCCUUCUGGUACGUCA